AGAGUUGCUUAUUUAUACGUUAGAUUACUGACCAAGAUGUAUUAAUCAACAUCUGAUUUCUCCAAUCGAGUAGCCUACCUUAAAUUAUACUGACUGUUGUGUGCAAAGUGUUUUGUCUUUUUCAGGGUAGACAUGUCUUUCUCAUUAGAGGAGCUUUGUGGUCAAUGUUAAGUACGAAAGAGUAGAUGAGGCAGAGGCAAGGGUCAGCAGUGAGGAAGAAGAUGCACUUGAAAGUGACCAGGUUGAUUCUCCUGCUGUUGUCCCGAAUUAAUCUGAAAAUGAAGGGAGUCAGAAGGAGGAGUUGAGGAGGACUCCUUAGGUGGUGAAGCUCAUCAGGGAAGGCAGAGGAAGAGGGGGAAUCCAGAGAUAGUUUACCAGCUGAGUGAGACAUAAACAGUCAAGAGACAAGAGGAAUCAAAACAGGAGGAAGACAUAACAGUGCGGCAGAAACCUUGAAGGAGAGCCACUUCUGCCCACGCCUGAAAGGAGCUUUAAUCAUGAGAGACAUCAGAGCCGAGUCUCCACCCCCCUCACCAACAACCACCAGUGAGGAUUCACAUUCUUCACCCCCCCGAACCCCGUCCAGGUCACCCUCCUCUAUAGUCACCCUUUCUCCUUCCUCCCCUCUCUUAGAAUUCACUGACCAGAUGAAAGAGCUGGGCACUGCUGGAACCAAACCUACCCCCUGCCCAUGCACUGCUCCUACUCUUUCUUUCUCUCCCUCCAGUAGGUGUCUCUCAAACUCUUUCAGAAAAAAAAUCAACACCUCACUAUCAUCUCCUUUUCUCUGUAGGAAUGUUAAUGUUGUCAGUAUGGAACAGACCGCUGCUACCAUAGCAUUGGACGCCUCUCGUCGCCAGCUCCCAUUGAAAAUGAAUGUCGCUUUUGUAGCUCAUGAAGCUUCUGGUGUGAGCGCACAGUUGGGCUGCUAGUGGUAUCCAGGGCAAAAUCUAAACAAGGAGAAGCGACUUUUAGUUAUUAUACAGCACAACUCUGGUCAAAAUUUAACUUUGAAUGUAACUUGUGUUAUGACUUAAAAAAAGCUUGUCAAUUCAGUAUAAGUUCCUGGUGCAAAAAGCGACAUUUUCCAAGUGAGACUCAGUGCUGUUUGUAAUGCAUUGCAAGACUACAUGACAGGA
Long non-coding RNA from Siniperca chuatsi (mandarin fish), 1139 nucleotides. RefSeq lists it as uncharacterized. Lineage: Eukaryota; Metazoa; Chordata; Actinopteri; Centrarchiformes; Sinipercidae. The transcript has 4 exons. The record is from RefSeq and is a predicted model, not a curated record.